This is a long non-coding RNA of Panthera uncia (snow leopard), 2269 nucleotides long. RefSeq lists it as uncharacterized. Lineage: Eukaryota; Metazoa; Chordata; Mammalia; Carnivora; Felidae. The record is from RefSeq and is a predicted model, not a curated record. The transcript has 3 exons.
GGAUGGUGAUGUGCUGUGUCACUUCAGAGCUUAGCAGGUGCAGAAAAUUCAUCUGGACCCGGCUGACAGCAAACUCGACCUGUGGCAGAAACACGGCAGUGAGGUAGGGUCAGGCCGGCUGCCCGAGGCUCUCAAAUAUCCUCACCUCUCUCUGGAAGAAGCAGAGAGAAGCUCUUUCCUGGUGAGCCUUUCCCAGCUUUGCCCCCAGACGCGUGCCCACUGGAGACAGGGACAUAGAGGUCCGGUGUGAGCCAGUCCACAGCCAAGGAGUAACAAGGACGGGAAAGAACCGAGGCCACAGCUAUGAGGGUUCCGGAGUCACCUGAUCCCUCCCCCAUGGCAUGGGUGUGGGAGGGGGUUUGUCUUUGGAGCUGAGCUGGGAUCCUGAGGCCCAGAGAGGAAGAGGAAGUAGAUCAAGAGCCUCUUGGAAGAGGGGGAAUAUGAGAAGUGCCCUCCCCACCCUUUCUAAGUCCCAAGGCCCCAGAAAUGGCAGUCCCAACAACCAACAAGGACAGGAUUUAUGGCUUCAGUGGAUGCAGCUUAAGCCCUGACCAUUGGUUUUGUCUUUUUGUAACACAAGUGCUGAGGAGCCCUAAGCCCCCACCCUGGACCCCAGUAAAAGCAGAACCCCAGGCCCCUGCACACACGCCUCUCUCCACCAGCAACCUGGCUGUGUGCCCCCGAUGUGCUGUGUGAUUUUCAGGUCCGCACCAGCCGGUCUGGAUGGCUGUAACCCUGUCAUGAGGAGAGAAGGUGGUCACCGGCUCCUUGAGGUCCUGGCCCGGCCCGAGGUCUAAGCCUCUGCAGCCACAAGUUCUUGCACUUGGGAGAUGAUGCGGCUCCCCCCACUUAACAGGUAGGGAAACUGAGGGCCAGGGAUGGGAUGGGGGCUGCCCCAGAGUCUGGAAGCUUAAGGGGAGUGGAGGGCCAGCAUCGACUCCCCCAGCCGCCAGCUCCAGCUCGGGGAACAAAUAAGCUGUGGGACGCUCGGUGCAGGCCACGUGGAGGCUGUUGACCACACGUGAGCCAUUCCUUCUGUCUCCCCCAGGAGGGGAUCUCAUGCAGGCAGGGGGCCCGGAGGUACCUCUGCUUUCAGUGCGCCAUUUGUGUCCAUCCACGUCUGGAAAGCUGCUCCAAGGUCAUCUUGCUGCUGUGCAAAGAGGAGACGGGGUGUGCAUCUUGUCCCCACUCCUGGCCCCAAGACCUCCCCAGACUCACCAAGAGGGAGACCCAGGGUCUGAGCACGAGCUCUCCCAGCCACCCGCCUGGGUGGUAUCACGGCCAAGUCGCCUGCCUCCUGUGGAACUCUCUGUCUUUCCUCCACUUACAAACGGAGUCAGAGCUGACCCUUCCACUCCCUUUCUCCAGGACUUCCCUAGCUCUCCAUCACCCUCAGGAUUAAGUACAAACUCCUCCACGUGGUUACAAGACCUGAGCUGAGUGUUGUGGUCUCUGGCCCAGACUCUCUUCUCUUGGUCACACAAACUCUGUGCACCAGACGCACUCUUGUGUUCCCAAAUCGCUAAGCACCAUGCUCUAUCUAGCCACGGGGCCUUUGCACAUGCUGUUCCCAUCACCUGGAUCAUUCUUCUUACCCUCCAAUGCUCCAUCUGGCUAUCUCCUAAUCCAGUGGUUCUCAACUAGGGGCAGUGUUGCCCCCUGGGGGACAUUUGGCUAUAUCUAGAGACAUUCUUGGCUGUCACAACUGGAGGAGGGGUUGCUUCUGGCAUCUAGCGGGUAGAGGCCAGGCACGCUGCUAAACACCCUAAAAUCACUCAUAGCAAAGAAUCAUUUGUUGGUAAAGGCUGCAGUUGAGUAGCCCUGCCCUAGACUCAUCCUACAUGUCAGCUUCCUCGGGAAAUCCUUCAUCGGGCUCCCGCCCCCAGGCUGGGUGCGGUUCCUUUCUCCGUGUGUCGGCAGUGCCUGUGUUUCUCCUCUGGCUUGCAUUGUAGCUGUCAACCACACACCUGUGCCUCCAACCCUAGCACUGGACUUUCCAGAAGCACAGCAGCGGUCUUGCCGUGAGAACAGUGACAGGGAGAGCAGGACGGAGAGCAAAGCCCGAGAGGUCCAGAGCCCGGACUCUACAGAUCCUUCACAUUUCCAAGCGAAUGUUAGACGCAGCUUCCUAUUUUCCACAAGGAAGCCUUGAUGGGAUUUUGAUUGGGAUUGCGUUGAAUCCAGAUACCAACUGGAGGAAAACUGACAUCUUAACAAUAUUGCGCUUUUGACCAGCGAACACAGUAAGUUCCUCCAUUUAGUUAGGUCU